RNAcentral lists this ribosomal RNA (411 nucleotides) under Verrucomicrobiota bacterium. RNAcentral's name for it is "Verrucomicrobia bacterium partial 16S ribosomal RNA". It matches the Rfam family "Bacterial small subunit ribosomal RNA", at positions 355 to 776 of the family's 1533-position model. Lineage: Bacteria; Pseudomonadati; Verrucomicrobiota. The record is from RNAcentral.
UGGGGAAUCUUGCGCAAUGGGGGAAACCCUGACGCAGCGACGCCGCGUGCGGGAUGAAGGCCUUCGGGUUGUAAACCGCUUUCAGCAGGGACGAGGCCUUAUGGUGACGGUACCUGCAGAAGAAGCUCCGGCUAAAUACGUGCCAGCAGCCGCGGUAAUACGUAUGGAGCAAGCGUUAUCCGGAUUCAUUGGGCGUAAAGCGCUCGUAGGCGGUCUGUUAGGUCGGCAAGUUAAAUCCGGGGGCUCAACCCCCGUCCGCUUCCGAUACCGGCAGACUUGAGUUUGGUAGGGGAAGGUGGAAUUCCUAGUGUAGCGGUGGAAUGCGCAGAUAUUAGGAAGAACACCGGUGGCGAAGGCGGCCUUCUGUUCCAUAACUGACGCUGAGGAGCGAAAGCUAGGGGAGCGAACAGG